Molecule: long non-coding RNA, 304 nt
Filed under: Gallus gallus (chicken)
Lineage: Eukaryota; Metazoa; Chordata; Aves; Galliformes; Phasianidae
Source: RNAcentral
CUUCCCUUGCAGCGGUUGUAUGGAGAGGCUUUGGUCCUACAGAUUUCUAUGAGGUUCACCACAUUCUCAUGCUUGAGCAGCUGGAGGAUUUUAAUCUCUCGCAGAGCUGUGAUGGGGAACCCCUCCUUCUCAUUUUCCAUCAACACCUUCUUCAGCGCGACCUUUUUGCCCGUCUGCCGGUGCUUGGCUUUGAACACUUCCCCGAAGGUGCCCUGCCCGAUUUUGGCGAGCUUCUCGUACUUGGAGACCUCAUCGCAGAAGGGGCACUCCACCAUGUCGUACUGCUUGGCCAUGCCGGCCGCCG